Long non-coding RNA from Vollenhovia emeryi, 991 nucleotides. RefSeq lists it as uncharacterized. The record is from RefSeq and is a predicted model, not a curated record. NCBI's taxonomy places the organism in Eukaryota, Metazoa, Arthropoda, Insecta, Hymenoptera, Formicidae. The transcript has 4 exons.
UAUUGUGUGUAAUAAAAAUUAUAUAAAAAAUAUUUCACAUUUUAAUCCUGUUUUAUUUUUUUAUAGAAUCGUGAUAGAGAAUCGUGAUUUUUUGUCAGACACGCUUAUUCAUCAUUAAAAUUGUUUACAACUAUAAUAGUAUAAAAAGGAACAUUUUGACGUAAAAUGCCACAAGUUGAAAAUUAUUUGACAACUGCGACUAUUCUCUGCAAGAAACAUGAAAAGGAGUCAUACCAGCGCAUUUUCUAUAUUUUUGAUGAUCACGAUAUUGUUAAUCUCAACUGUUAUCACGAUGGUAGCUACUGAAUCAGACAACGUCAUAACCGUUCCGGAACAGUGUCCUCCUGGUCAGAGAGAAGAUAGUCGCGGAAAAUGCCGCGAAGUUAUAGAAUGAGUUGAAGUACAGAAGGAAUAAUGGAGAGAAUUAUAAAUAACAUUAUACAGGAUGUCUCAUUUGAAAUGAUCCACGCAUAGUGACAGGACAAGUUCUUUACCACUUCCUCCCUCCAUUUCUUGAGAAUUAUAAAAAAAACUGUUAAUUAAGAAUCGUGACUUUCUUGUCAGAUACGUUUAUUUUUCAUUAAAAUUGUUUAUGACUUUAAUAGUAUAAAAGGGAACAUUUUGACGCAAAAUGCCACAAGUUGACAAUUAUUUGACAACUGCGACUAUUCUCUGCAAGAAACAUGAAAAGGAGUCAUACCAGCGCAUUUUCUAUAUUUUUGAUGAUCACGGUAUUGUUAAUCUCAACUGUUAUCACGAUGGUAGCUACUGAAUCAGCAGGCUACAUCAUACAAGUUCCAGCACGGCCUGAGUGUCCUUCUGGUCAGAAAAAAGAUAACCGCGGACAAUGCCGCGUACUUGUAGGAUGAGUUGAAGUACAGAAGAUACACAAAAAUGGAUAAUAACGCGGUUGCAGUUUAGAUUUGGAACAUCAAAAAAUAAUUACAAGUGCAUAUUGUAAUAAGCAAAUAUAAAUAUACGCCGUGACAGU